CAAUAGCGUAUAUUAGAGUUGUUGCGGUAAAAAAGCUCGUAGUUGGAUUUCUACCGAAGAUAGCCGGUCGGGUCUUCGACCUUGUAUCUGGUUUUGUCUUUGGUAUCCUCAUAGGGAACGUUUCUGCGCUUUAUUGCGUGGUGCGGUAUCUAUGACUUUUACUUUGAGGAAAUUAGAGUGUUCACGGCAGGCAAACGCCUUGAAUAUAUUAGCAUGGAAUAAUAACAUAGGAUCUUCGUCCUAUUUUGUUGGUUUCUAGGGCUAAGAUAAUGAUUAAUAGGGAUAAUUGGGGGCAUCUGUAUCAACGCGUCAGAGGUGGAAUUCUUGGAUUGCGUUGCGACAAACUACUGCGAAAGCAUUUGCCAAGGAUGUUUUCAUUGA
This 381-nucleotide ribosomal RNA is filed under the name uncultured eukaryote. Its description in RNAcentral is "partial 18S ribosomal RNA". It matches the Rfam family "Eukaryotic small subunit ribosomal RNA", at positions 592 to 976 of the family's 1831-position model. The record is from RNAcentral.